UGUAUUAAAAAAUAUAUUUAAUUUAAUUUAAUUUAAGCUAUCUAAUUUUUGACUACUUGAUGUAUAGACUAAGGGUCUUUUAAUCAUAUGAUUUUUUGUAUGCAAGUAGUUUUGAGGUAGGAGGUCAUAUUCAAUAACUUGAAUCAUUGAUAUAGGAUUUCUAUUAUAGAGUUUUGAUCUGACCAAAUCAGAACUCAAAUUCGGACGAUCUAAUUCUAGUCUGGCUCUCUCUCUCUCUCUCUCUAUAGGUGUAUGUGUAGAGGCAGAUUUGAAUAAAAUCAAUUGGAUUUGAGCUCAAAUUUGAUCAGAUCAAAACUGGACAAAUGGAGUUCUAUAUCGAUGAUUUACGCCGUUGGAUAUGAUCUACUACUUUAAAACUGCUUGCACAUCAAUAAUCAUAUAAUUUGAGAACCCUUAGGCUAUGCAUCAAGUGAUUAAAAAAUAUAUCUAAUUUAAUUUUAUUUAGACCGUCUAAUUUUUGACUACUUGAUGCAUAGGUUAGGGGUCUUUAAAUCAUAUGAUUUUUUAUGUGCAAGUAGUUUUGAGAUAGUAGAUCAUAUUUAAUGGUUUGAAUCAUUAAUGUAGAAUCCAUAUUAUAGAGUUUUGAUCUGAUCAGAUCUGAGUCCAAAUCUGAUCGAUUUGAUUCUACUCUGAUUCUCUCUCUCGAUAUAUAUAUAUAUAUAU
RNAcentral lists this long non-coding RNA (684 nucleotides) under Elaeis guineensis (African oil palm). Its description in RNAcentral is "long non-coding RNA (EGUI_LNC002905)". Lineage: Eukaryota; Viridiplantae; Streptophyta; Magnoliopsida; Arecales; Arecaceae. The record is from RNAcentral.